CACGCAGGCGGUUUGUUAAGUCAGAUGUGAAAGCCCCGGGCUCAACCUGGGAACUGCAUUUGAUACUGGCAAACUAGAGUAUGAGAGAGAGAGGUGGAAUUCCACAUGUAGCGGUGAAAUGCGUAGAGAUGUGGAGGAACAUCAGUGGCGAAGGCGACUUCUUGGCUCAAUACUGACGCUCAGGUGCGAAAGCGUGGGGAGCAAACAGGAUUAGAUACCCUGGUAGUCC
RNAcentral lists this ribosomal RNA (229 nucleotides) under uncultured bacterium. Its description in RNAcentral is "partial 16S ribosomal RNA". It matches the Rfam family "Bacterial small subunit ribosomal RNA", at positions 568 to 796 of the family's 1533-position model. The record is from RNAcentral.